RNAcentral lists this ribosomal RNA (2902 nucleotides) under Klebsiella pneumoniae. Its description in RNAcentral is "23S ribosomal RNA". It matches the Rfam family "Bacterial large subunit ribosomal RNA". The record is from RNAcentral. Lineage: Bacteria; Pseudomonadati; Pseudomonadota; Gammaproteobacteria; Enterobacterales; Enterobacteriaceae.
GGUUAAGCGACUAAGCGUACACGGUGGAUGCCCUGGCAGUCAGAGGCGAUGAAGGACGUGCUAAUCUGCGAAAAGCGUCGGUAAGGUGAUAUGAACCGUUACAGCCGGCGAUGUCCGAAUGGGGAAACCCAGUGUGAUUCGUCACACUAUCGUUAACUGAAUACAUAGGUUAACGAGGCGAACCGGGGGAACUGAAACAUCUAAGUACCCCGAGGAAAAGAAAUCAACCGAGAUUCCCCCAGUAGCGGCGAGCGAACGGGGAGCAGCCCAGAGUCUGAAUCAGCUUGUGUGUUAGUGGAACGGUCUGGAAAGUCCGACGGUACAGGGUGAUAGUCCCGUACACCAAAAUGCACAGGCUGUGAACUCGAAGAGUAGGGCGGGACACGUGGUAUCCUGUCUGAAUAUGGGGGGACCAUCCUCCAAGGCUAAAUACUCCUGACUGACCGAUAGUGAACCAGUACCGUGAGGGAAAGGCGAAAAGAACCCCGGCGAGGGGAGUGAAAAAGAACCUGAAACCGUGUACGUACAAGCAGUGGGAGCACCUUCGGGUGUGACUGCGUACCUUUUGUAUAAUGGGUCAGCGACUUAUAUUCUGUAGCAAGGUUAACCGUAUAGGGGAGCCGCAGGGAAACCGAGUCUUAACUGGGCGUUAAGUUGCAGGGUAUAGACCCGAAACCCGGUGAUCUAGCCAUGGGCAGGUUGAAGGUUGGGUAACACUAACUGGAGGACCGAACCGACUAAUGUUGAAAAAUUAGCGGAUGACUUGUGGCUGGGGGUGAAAGGCCAAUCAAACCGGGAGAUAGCUGGUUCUCCCCGAAAGCUAUUUAGGUAGCGCCUCGUGAAUUCAUCUUCGGGGGUAGAGCACUGUUUCGGCUAGGGGGUCAUCCCGACUUACCAACCCGAUGCAAACUACGAAUACCGAAGAAUGUUAUCACGGGAGACACACGGCGGGUGCUAACGUCCGUCGUGAAGAGGGAAACAACCCAGACCGCCAGCUAAGGUCCCAAAGUCAUGGUUAAGUGGGAAACGAUGUGGGAAGGCACAGACAGCCAGGAUGUUGGCUUAGAAGCAGCCAUCAUUUAAAGAAAGCGUAAUAGCUCACUGGUCGAGUCGGCCUGCGCGGAAGAUGUAACGGGGCUAAACCAUGCACCGAAGCUGCGGCAGCGACACUAUGUGUUGUUGGGUAGGGGAGCGUUCUGUAAGCCUGCGAAGGUGACCUGUGAGGGUUGCUGGAGGUAUCAGAAGUGCGAAUGCUGACAUAAGUAACGAUAAAGCGGGUGAAAAGCCCGCUCGCCGGAAGACCAAGGGUUCCUGUCCAACGUUAAUCGGGGCAGGGUGAGUCGACCCCUAAGGCGAGGCCGAAAGGCGUAGUCGAUGGGAAACAGGUUAAUAUUCCUGUACUUGGUGUUACUGCGAAGGGGGGACGGAGAAGGCUAUGUUAGCCGGGCGACGGUUGUCCCGGUUUAAGCAUGUAGGCUGGUUGUCCAGGCAAAUCCGGAUAAUCAAGGCUGAGGUGUGAUGACGAGGCACUACGGUGCUGAAGUAACAAAUGCCCUGCUUCCAGGAAAAGCCUCUAAGCAUCAGGUAACAUUAAAUCGUACCCCAAACCGACACAGGUGGUCAGGUAGAGAAUACCAAGGCGCUUGAGAGAACUCGGGUGAAGGAACUAGGCAAAAUGGUGCCGUAACUUCGGGAGAAGGCACGCUGGUGUGUAGGUGAAGUCCCUGCGGAUGGAGCUGAGACCAGUCGAAGAUACCAGCUGGCUGCAACUGUUUAUUAAAAACACAGCACUGUGCAAACACGAAAGUGGACGUAUACGGUGUGACGCCUGCCCGGUGCCGGAAGGUUAAUUGAUGGGGUUAUCCGUAAGGAGAAGCUCUUGAUCGAAGCCCCGGUAAACGGCGGCCGUAACUAUAACGGUCCUAAGGUAGCGAAAUUCCUUGUCGGGUAAGUUCCGACCUGCACGAAUGGCGUAAUGAUGGCCAGGCUGUCUCCACCCGAGACUCAGUGAAAUUGAACUCGCUGUGAAGAUGCAGUGUACCCGCGGCAAGACGGAAAGACCCCGUGAACCUUUACUAUAGCUUGACACUGAACAUUGAGCCUUGAUGUGUAGGAUAGGUGGGAGGCUUUGAAGCGUGGACGCCAGUCUGCGUGGAGCCAACCUUGAAAUACCACCCUUUAAUGUUUGAUGUUCUAACGUUGGCCCCUUACCGGGGUUGCGGACAGUGUCUGGUGGGUAGUUUGACUGGGGCGGUCUCCUCCCAAAGCGUAACGGAGGAGCACGAAGGUUAGCUAAUCCUGGUCGGACAUCAGGAGGUUAGUGCAAUGGCAUAAGCUAGCUUGACUGCGAGCGUGACGGCGCGAGCAGGUGCGAAAGCAGGUCAUAGUGAUCCGGUGGUUCUGAAUGGAAGGGCCAUCGCUCAACGGAUAAAAGGUACUCCGGGGAUAACAGGCUGAUACCGCCCAAGAGUUCAUAUCGACGGCGGUGUUUGGCACCUCGAUGUCGGCUCAUCACAUCCUGGGGCUGAAGUAGGUCCCAAGGGUAUGGCUGUUCGCCAUUUAAAGUGGUACGCGAGCUGGGUUUAGAACGUCGUGAGACAGUUCGGUCCCUAUCUGCCGUGGGCGCUGGAGAAUUGAGGGGGGCUGCUCCUAGUACGAGAGGACCGGAGUGGACGCAUCACUGGUGUUCGGGUUGUCAUGCCAAUGGCACUGCCCGGUAGCUAAAUGCGGAAGAGAUAAGUGCUGAAAGCAUCUAAGCACGAAACUUGCCCCGAGAUGAGUUCUCCCUGAGACUUUAAGUCUCCUGAAGGAACGUUAAAGACGAUGACGUUGAUAGGCCGGGUGUGUAAGCGCAGCGAUGCGUUGAGCUAACCGGUACUAAUGAACCGUGAGGCUUAACCUU